CGCGAUGAUGACAUCCCGCUGACACGGCUCCGCCACCUCCCCCGCACAAUGCAAAUGAGCUUUCAUCAGCGAGUGACAGGAUAAAACAGGUGUGCUCAGACAGGGAGACACCAGCAGCUCUGUGCCAGCAGAGAGUUUACACAGGUGAACAGGAGGAGACGCAUUCCAGCUCAGCAGCUUCAGCAUGAACUCCAGCGCUAUUCUGGUGAGUACGAGCCGUCACCUGGAGAACAGGUGUGCAGAUGCUUUGUACGCUCUGGCUUCACCUCACAGUGACAGCCUGGAAACAGCUUUGGACUGCACAGCUCAUUACUACACAAACCUGUGUGAUGUGUGUGUACAGAGCAAAGCGUUUUCAUCGAGCUUCUUUUGGAGGGACGUUGGAGACAGAUCAGUCAAAGCCUCUGAUCGGUGUCAUUGUGUCAAAAUGUGUGCUUGUCUUCCAGCUCUUCCUGGGACUGAUGGGGACAGCGUUCAGCAGCCCGGUUUGUCCUCAAAACUGCAACCAUGCUCAGCACUAUCACAGGCAGUACUUCACUCAUGUGUCCGACCUCCAUAAUUCUUCAGUCGCGCCCUGGAAACUACAAAACAACUCUAAAGCAGGCCGAGAACCACAGACGAUCAAGGAGGCCAAAUGCAUGCCUUGCAGUGUGGAGAACAUGGUGGCCAGACCAAUCUUCGUACAGAUUCAGGUGUACGAGAGCAUAGGCACGCAUGGGUAUUGCAGCUGUCCGUUCGAUCUGGCGGUCGGAUGCACCUGUGUCGCGAAGGAAUGACGGCCGGACGCCAGGCUGUGCUGAAUGUGCCGUAACAACCUGCUUUUAGUUGCUGGCUGUGCCUAUAUUGAAUGUAUUUAUUUGUAACUAGGAAAUACUGUUUAUCAGGUUAUAUAUGAGUGUGCAUGUAAAAUGCGACCAAGUCAUCGUUUUUUAAACUUACCUAUAUGUCAAUGACAUGUUUGUUUACAUGAGAUAAAACUUCAUGAAUUUUGUGGCAGUGUUGCUCGUUUCAAAGCAACCUGAAUCCUUUUUUCUAGAAAAAUUCAGUGUACUGAUCUGUUCAAUGUGCAUCUGAAUAUCACAUUUUAUUCUUUACAUGCAUCAUGUAAUAUGCAGUAACUUGAUAAUAUCAUAGUCAUUUCAGAAUAUUUCUGGUCAGUACCAAUGUGAAAAUGUUUGUUUUGUAUUAUCAAAAUGCUGGAUUUUUAUGUACCUCA
Molecule: long non-coding RNA, 1216 nt
Organism: Astatotilapia calliptera (eastern happy)
Lineage: Eukaryota; Metazoa; Chordata; Actinopteri; Cichliformes; Cichlidae
Source: Ensembl